GCCCUCGGUGGCUCAUAUGGGAAAGAGCAUCUGCCAUGCAAGCAGGAGGUCCCGGGUUCGAGUCCCGGUCGGGGCG
This is a non-coding RNA of Schistocerca gregaria, 76 nucleotides long. Lineage: Eukaryota; Metazoa; Arthropoda; Insecta; Orthoptera; Acrididae. The record is from the annotation of a RefSeq genome assembly.